RNAcentral lists this ribosomal RNA (301 nucleotides) under uncultured bacterium. RNAcentral's name for it is "partial 16S ribosomal RNA". It matches the Rfam family "Bacterial small subunit ribosomal RNA", at positions 509 to 807 of the family's 1533-position model. The record is from RNAcentral.
CAGUAGCCGCGGGAAUACGUAGGUGGCAAGCGUUGUCCGGAAUUAUUGGGCGUAAAGGGCUCGCAGGCGGUUUCUUAAGUCUGAUGCGAAAGCCCCCGGCUCAACCGGGGAGGGUCAUUGGAAACUGGGAAACUUGAGUGCAGAAGAGGAGAGUGGAAUUCCACGUGUAGCGGUGAAAUGCGUAGAGAUGUGGAGGAACACCAGUGGCGAAGGCGACUCUCUGGUCUGUAACUGACGCUGAGGAGCGAAAGCGUGGGGAGCGAACAGGAUUAGAUACCCCCGUAGUCCCUGUCUCUUAUAC